AGGGCGUUUGUUUUUUGGUUUCUUUGCUCAAAGUGCAGAGUGAUUUUUUUUUUCUUUUAAGAAAAUAAGUAUUUCAAGAGCUUUUCAUAUUGACAGUUUUUUGUUGCAUGGCAGUUGUGUUUUCUGGCUGUGGCACCAUUACUUAAGCUGAGUUUUAAUGUCUGUUGGGAUGUUUCAGAAAUGCUUAUGGAAGUACCUGGCUAGAACGUCGGAGAGAGUUUUGCUAGGUUUCACGCUUUGCAUAGCAAAGUGUAGUGGACUUAGCGUGGCAAAAAUGAGGCGUCGUCCCAGGAGCAAGCUCAGGACGAUUAGCCCUGAGCUAACAUCUGCCGCCAAUCCUCCUCUUUUUGCUGAGGACGACUGGCCCUGAGCUAACAUCCAUGCCCAUCUUCCUCUACUUUCUAUGCGGGACGCCUACCACAGCAUGGUGUGCCUAAGCGGUGCCAUGUCCGCACCUGGGAUCCAAACCUGCGAACCCCGGGCCGCCGAAGUGGAACGUGCGAACUUAACUGCUGCGCCACAGGGCCAGCCCCCUGCGUUUCUAACAAGUUCUCAGGUGAUGAGUAUGCUGCUGGGGGAGGAACCACCAGCACCUGGUUUGUAAAUCAUUUUAUUGGAACACAGCCAUGUCAGAGACUGAAUGACCUGCAAGCCUGAAAUCUUUGCUCUCUGGCCCUUUAUAGAGAAAGUGUGCUUCCCCAUAAUAUAUAUGUGAUCAGUGCUGAGCAUUUUCUAUUGAGUUCAUAUUUUAUUCUCAAGAGCUCUUUUAUAUGUUAAGACAUUGCUUAACAAAUUAGCCCACAAAAGUAUGGUAUGGGGGAAUAGAUGCCUAUUUUGAAGUGUUAGGGAGUAUAACUAACAUGACACUUCUUUUAAGUCUUUUGUUUUUUCUAAAAGUAAUCUGAAUUUUUUAUUCCAGAAGCAUCAGUGUUUGGUUUAAUAUGAAACAUUUUUCCUCCUUAAUCUUUGAAUAAAGCUGAUGCUACUAAAUAUGUUGUAUUUAAUCCUGCUUUCACUGUGUUUGAGAAAUACGCUACUGAGAUUUGCAAUUUUUGGUCAUAAGUUUCAAAUAUUUGUUCUAUGCUUUGAAUUCAAAUCGUCAAUCUUUUUCUUUCCCCUGUCUUCUCUACCCCAAGAUUUUAU
RNAcentral lists this long non-coding RNA (1143 nucleotides) under Equus asinus (donkey). Its description in RNAcentral is "lncRNA (ENSEASG00005028437.1)". The record is from RNAcentral. Lineage: Eukaryota; Metazoa; Chordata; Mammalia; Perissodactyla; Equidae.